Long non-coding RNA from Alexandromys fortis (reed vole), 384 nucleotides. RefSeq lists it as uncharacterized. Lineage: Eukaryota; Metazoa; Chordata; Mammalia; Rodentia; Cricetidae. The record is from RefSeq and is a predicted model, not a curated record. The transcript has 3 exons.
CGUGCGCCGGAAGCCAAGGCAAAUGCUUUGUCCUCCCGGAAGAAGCUUGGGGUUGGCAAUACAAACCUCACUCCAAGCAGCGUUGUGGUGUGAGGCUCAUUCUCGGAGAGGCGCCUGUCAAAGAUGCACCGCUGGGCAAGGCUUGUGCCCAAAUGACCUCCUUCUGGCCUGUGAUCACUGCCAGCUCUGCAGACCUGGUUCCCUCCUGAAUGAAGCUGCUGCCAUCACUAUGGAGAUCUGUAUUUCUGGAAACCAACACCCAGAGAAUCCAGAAUCAUCCUCUUGCUCCUCCGAAUGACACCAUCCGUCAGGUGGUCCACCUUCAAGCCGUGAAUCAGGCUGGCUAAGCUCUCUGUGACAGACUUCAAAGAGAAGAAGGUUAGA